CCGAAUGCACCGUAUAUGUCCUAGACGCCUCGUAUAGAGCUAUACGAGGCGUCUAUGCUUUUUGCUAAAUGACAUUUUUGCCCCUGUUUUACCCUUAGUAUAGCCUUUUAUCAGGGGCAAAAUGGUAAUUAACCAUUCCAAAAAGAUAUUUCUGGAAUGGUUAAUUACCAUUUUGCCCCUGAAAAAAGGCUAUACUAAGGGGUAAACAGGGGCAUAAUGGUAAUUUAAUAAUACAUUUUAUUAAUUAAAAAAAGAAAUGGCAAAAAGUAACCGCCUCAACUGUACUCCUCGUACAGGUCUGUACGAGUCGUACAAUUUUGAAAUUACCUUUUAGCCCCUGCUAAGUGGCUAUACUGGGGGCAUAUCAGGGGUAAAAUAGUAAUUAACUAAAAUGAUUUUCAAAAUUCAAAUUCAAAAUUCAAAUUUAAACCGCUCAAAGAGACGCCCCGUACAGGUCUGUACGAAGCGUCUACUUUCAAAAAAUUCAAAUUUUGAAUUUCAGAUAUUCAAAAAUUGAAUUUUCAAAAUCCCGCUCAACUGUACUCCUCGUACAGGUCUGUACGAGGCGUCUGGUUGGUGUAAAAUUACCUUUGAGCCCCUGGAAUAAGCCUCUAUUGGGGGCCUAUCAGGGGCUAAAUGGUCUUUUGUGCAAUAUGAUACGAGGAGUCUAGUUCUAUACGAAGCGUAUAGUUUUUUUUUUGUAGAAAAAUUUAAAAAAAUACUAUUAAUUCCAAAAAAAUAUUAUUCAUUACAAAAAAAAUACUAUUAAUUACAAAGUUACACUAUUAAUUCCAAAAAAAAUACUAUUA
RNAcentral lists this long non-coding RNA (809 nucleotides) under Helianthus annuus (common sunflower). RNAcentral describes it as "hypothetical non coding rna". The record is from RNAcentral. Lineage: Eukaryota; Viridiplantae; Streptophyta; Magnoliopsida; Asterales; Asteraceae.